GGUCAGUUCAUCAUGAACUUCCAUAUGCAUAAGAUGCAAUGUACCUUGGCCGAGUUAAUGAAUAUGUUGGUUAUGGCUGAGCUUUCAAUGAAAGGUUUUAAAAGGUUUAGUUCUUACUGUGGAGUGGACAUCUUCUAAGAGAAAGUCUUUUGGAAAGAAAAAGAAGUCCGUGAAGAAGCAGAAGGUGGAUGGCAAGAACAAGAAGACAGGACCGAAGAAGAAGGCUUCUGAA
RNAcentral lists this long non-coding RNA (232 nucleotides) under Elaeis guineensis (African oil palm). RNAcentral describes it as "long non-coding RNA (EGUI_LNC058135)". Lineage: Eukaryota; Viridiplantae; Streptophyta; Magnoliopsida; Arecales; Arecaceae. The record is from RNAcentral.